This 767-nucleotide long non-coding RNA is filed under the name Manihot esculenta (cassava). Its description in RNAcentral is "long non-coding RNA (MESC_LNC006604)". The record is from RNAcentral. Lineage: Eukaryota; Viridiplantae; Streptophyta; Magnoliopsida; Malpighiales; Euphorbiaceae.
AGCAUGGUUUUAAAUCGCGGUCGCGGCCACGUUCGCGGUCGUGGUCGCGGGUAACGGAAACAGACCUAUAACGGCCGUAACGUAACGGUAACGGCCUGGCGCUACGCAAAUUUUUUAAAAAAAUUUACAAAGUUCAUAAAUAAAAUGAUAUUAAUUAGAUUUAAUUUAGAACAAUGUAUACAAAUGCAUAAUAAACAUAAAUAUAUAAAAUAUAGAUUAUUCAACUUAAAUUAAACAUCAUAUAGUUUAGAAUAAGAAAAAUCAACAUAAUCUUUAUAGAUCGAGUAAACUAAUAGCUCAAAGUAUAAUUUUAACUCAAAACUAACGCUUUAAUCCACAAAAACUUACAAAAAAAAGGGAAAAAAAACAACAAUUAAAAACUAAAAUAGAUAAAAUUGAACUAACUUUUUAGAAGAAAUAAGCUUGGAAAUAGAAUAGUUUAUAAUGGAUCUAAGUUUAUAUGAGAAAUAUGCAAGGAAGAUUGAAAUUUGAAAGAGAAAAGGAAGAGAAAACUUUAAAAAUAUAGUCUUUAAAGCUGCUAAAAAGUGUAGAAACUAAUGAAAAUGAGAAUAGGGAGAAAAAAUAAAAGAUAUAAAAGAAUUUUAAUUAUUGGUAACGGCUGUUACCGUUACGUAACGACCGUAACGGCCGUUACGCAUGCAAAUCAGGAGGGGCCGUUAUAUAACGGGAUAACGGGUAACGGCCCCCCCAAAACCCGUUACAUAACGGCCGUUACGUAACGUAACGGCCGUUAUUUAAAACCAUGA